CUCGGGAGCAGCAAGGUAGGUGGUGCCCGUCACGUGCUCGGAAUCACCUGACUCGGAGCCGUGGAGGGGGGAGGAGGAGUCACGAGGAGGGUGGCCCGGCCCGACUGAGCCCUGAGCCCUCUGCCCUCCGCCCCAGCCCGCACUUCGGCCCUGCCCAGCCACGUACCUUGCUCCUCACCGCUCUCCUACUUUCUUCCGGGCUCCGGAGGCCAUCGCAAUAGGAGAUGCUCUCUGGGCACUUGAGAGAAUUGACUGUUCUCCUACUACUAUUGUGCUCGCCCAACCAGUAUUUAUUGAUGCCCGCGAAGUCCUGGGGCACAAGGGGCACAGAACUGGAACCGCCUUGGACCCUGCCUGCCCUCAAGUUGCUCCAAGAUUAAUGGGGAUCGGACCUCUGCAUCCUUGCUAGAAAUGUUGAAGAGGACCUCCAGAGGCCAGGCUGACCCUGAAUUCAUAGCACUGACUGAUACAGCAGUUUAAGCAGGUCAGUUCCCCCAAAAGGUCUGAUUAUCCAACCCACAGGUUGCCAUUCUGUUCAAAAGGAUGGUACAAGAGACAGUCAUUUGACUUACAUAAAUAUUAAUACCAGUCCCAUUGGGAAAAAAGCAAAUGAGGGUUGGCUGCCAGAAAAAAUUUCUACUUGCCUGUCCACAAAGGGACUGUCAUACCAAUUGCUUAAGGAAGCCAAGUCUCCCUCUCUUCCAAAACUCCCAUGGGGCCAUGUUUUAUUAUUAUUUAUGGUUCUUAGCACAUCCUGUCCCACAUUGUAGUUGGUUAUAUACGUGGCUUAAAGCUAACUUCAAGUCAUUCACCUUUAUAACACCUAGCACGCAGCCCACUGCUGUCCAUGUAAGAGGCACUCGAACCGGUAAAACAUAAACCAAUUCAAGUAAAUGUUCUUCCAACUGUAUCUGACUCCCCUCCAAAAACAAACUUGUGACUAGAAGAGGCACAGACAAUUGCCACAUUCCUGCCAACAUGACUGAUUAAAAUGCCCUUAUGAUUGGCUUGGUCACAGUUUCCAGAAGGUGCUGAGGCUUUUGCUAGUUAAACCAGCUUUCAUUGGAUUUUGUUUUCUAUGUGUGUUUUCACCAAAAAAUAAAGACAUUUCUCUAACAAUAGGGACAGAAUACAUGAAAUAGGACUACUACUUUUUUUUUUUUUUUUUUUUUUUUUUGCGGUACGUGGGCCUCUCACUGUUGUGGCCUCUCCCGUUGCGGAGCACAGGCUCCGGACGCGCAGGCUCAGCGGCCAUGGCUCACGGGCCCAGCCGCUCCGCGGCAUGUGGGAUCCUCCCAGACCCAGGCACGAACCCGUGUCCCCUGCAUCGGCAGGGGGACUCUCAACCACUGCACCACCAGGGAAGCCCAGGACUACUACUUAAUAAUGCUAGUCAGUCAAUAAGGAAAAUAAGGGAUCAGUAACACAAAACAUCUGACUGUAGGUGUUCCAAGAAAGGAAAAAGAACUAACAAACAAGAAUAUAGUGCUUUACCAUUUACAAAUCUUUCACAUACAUUCCAUUUGACCCUCACAACAACCCUGUGAGGUAGGCAGCACAGAUAUU
This is a long non-coding RNA of Orcinus orca (killer whale), 1566 nucleotides long. RefSeq lists it as uncharacterized. The transcript has 2 exons. The record is from RefSeq and is a predicted model, not a curated record. NCBI's taxonomy places the organism in Eukaryota, Metazoa, Chordata, Mammalia, Artiodactyla, Delphinidae.